GAUGAACGCUGGCGGCGUGCCUAAUACAUGCAAGUCGAGCGAACAGACGAGGAGCUUGCUCCUCUGACGUUAGCGGCGGACGGGUGAGUAACACGUGGAUAACCUACCUAUAAGACUGGGAUAACUUCGGGAAACCGGAGCUAAUACCGGAUAAUAUAUUGAACCGCAUGGUUCAAUAGUGAAAGACGGUUUUGCUGUCACUUAUAGAUGGAUCCGCGCCGCAUUAGCUAGUUGGUAAGGUAACGGCUUACCAAGGCAACGAUGCGUAGCCGACCUGAGAGGGGGAUCGGCACCCCGGGACAGAGGGCCGGGGCCAACACCCGGAGGGAGGCAGCGGGAGGAAAUCUUCGGGAAGGGGCGAAAGCUGAAAGGGGAAACGCGGGGGGAGUGAGGAAGGGCUUCGGAUCGUAAACCUCUUUUUUUAGGGAAAAAAAAAUGUUUAAGUAAAGAGGACAGUUUGGCGGGAACUUAAGAAGAAACCCCGGCUAAACUCGUG
RNAcentral lists this ribosomal RNA (496 nucleotides) under uncultured bacterium. RNAcentral's name for it is "partial 16S ribosomal RNA". It matches the Rfam family "Bacterial small subunit ribosomal RNA", at positions 28 to 507 of the family's 1533-position model. The record is from RNAcentral.